GACGAACGCUGGCGGCGUGCUUAACACAUGCAAGUCGAACGGAAAGGCCCUGCUUUUGUGGGGUGCUCGAGUGGCGAACGGGUGAGUAACACGUGAGUAACCUGCCCUUGACUUUGGGAUAACUUCAGGAAACUGGGGCUAAUACCGGAUAGGAGCUCCUGCUGCAUGGUGGGGGUUGGAAAGUUUCGGCGGUUGGGGAUGGACUCGCGGCUUAUCAGCUUGUUGGUGGGGUAGUGGCUUACCAAGGCUUUGACGGGUAGCCGGCCUGAGAGGGUGACCGGCCACAUUGGGACUGAGAUACGGCCCAGACUCCUACGGGAGGCAGCAGUGGGGAAUAUUGCACAAUGGGCGGAAGCCUGAUGCAGCAACGCCGCGUGCGGGAUGACGGCCUUCGGGUUGUAAACCGCUUUCGCCUGUGACGAAGCGUGAGUGACGGUAAUGGGUAAAGAAGCACCGGCUAACUACGUGCCAGCAGCCGCGGUGAUACGUAGGGUGCGAGCGUUGUCCGGAUUUAUUGGGCGUAAAGGGCUCGUAGGUGGUUGAUCGCGUCGGAAGUGUAAUCUUGGGGCUUAACCCUGAGCGUGCUUUCGAUACGGGUUGACUUGAGGAAGGUAGGGGAGAAUGGAAUUCCUGGUGGAGCGGUGGAAUGCGCAGAUAUCAGGAGGAACACCAGUGGCGAAGGCGGUUCUCUGGGCCUUUCCUGACGCUGAGGAGCGAAAGCGUGGGGAGCGAACAGGCUUAGAUACCCUGGUAGUCCACGCUGUAAACGGUGGGUACUAGGUGUGGGGUCCAUUCCACGGGUUCCGUGCCGUAGCUAACGCUUUAAGUACCCCGCCUGGGGAGUACGGCCGCAAGGCUAAAACUCAAAGGAAUUGACGGGGUCCCGCACAAGCGGCGGAGCAUGCGGAUUAAUUCGAUGCAACGCGUAGAACCUUACCUGGGUUUGACAUGGAUCGGGAGUGCUCAGAGAUGGGUGUGCCUCUUUUGGGGUCGGUUCACAGGUGGUGCAUGGCUGUCGUCAGCUCGUGUCGUGAGAUGUUGGGUUAAGUCCCGCAACGAGCGCAACCCUUGUUCACUGUUGCCAGCACGUUAUGGUGGGGACUCAGUGGAGACCGCCGGGGUCAACUCGGAGGAAGGUGGGGAUGACGUCAAGUCAUCAUGCCCCUUAUGUCCAGGGCUUCACGCAUGCUACAAUGGCUGGUACAGAGAGUGGCGAGCCUGUGAGGGUGAGCGAAUCUCGGAAAGCCGGUCUCAGUUCGGAUUGGGGUCUGCAACUCGACCUCAUGAAGUCGGAGUCGCUAGUAAUCGCAGAUCAGCAACGCUGCGGUGAAUACGUUCCCGGG
RNAcentral lists this ribosomal RNA (1343 nucleotides) under uncultured bacterium. RNAcentral's name for it is "16S ribosomal RNA". It matches the Rfam family "Bacterial small subunit ribosomal RNA", at positions 28 to 1378 of the family's 1533-position model. The record is from RNAcentral.